AGUGGCGAACGGGUGAGGAACACGUAAGAAUCUGCCCCUCGGUCGGGGACAACUCUUGGAAACGAGAGCUAAUACCCGAUACGCUGUGGAGUGAAAGAAUUUCGCCGAGGGAUGAUCUUGCGUCUGAUUAGCUAGUUGGUACGGUAAUGGCGUACCAAGGCGACGAUCAGUAGCUGGUCUGAGAGGAUGGACAGCCACAUUGGAACUGGGACACGGUCCAAACUCCUACGGGAGGCAGCAGUGGGGAAUUUUCCGCAAUGGACGAAAGUCUGACGGAGCGACGCUGCGUGAAGGAUGACGGCCCGCGGGUUGUAAACUUCUUUUCUCGAAGAAGAAGCUCUGACGGUAUUCGAGGAAUAAGCAUCGGCUAACUCCGUGCCAGCAGCCGCGGUAAGACGGAGGAUGCAAGUGUUAUUCGGAAUGAUUGGGCGUAAAGAGUCUGUAGGCUGUAUAGAAAGUCUUUUGUUAAAUGCCUCGGCUCAACCGAGAUCAAGCAAAGGAAACUUCUAUACUUGAGGGAAGUAGAGGUACAGGGAAUUCCCGGUGGAGCGGUGAAAUGCGUAGAUAUCGGGAGGAACACCAAUAUGGCGAAGGCACUGUACUGGGCUUUUCCUGACGCUGAGAGACGAAAGCUAAAGGAGUGAUUAGGAUUAGAUACCCUAGUAAUUUUAGCCGUAAACGAUGAAACUCACUGCCGAGCGAAAUACAACGAGCGGUGGUCAAGCUAACGCGUGAAGUUUCCCGCCUGGGGAUUAC
This 756-nucleotide ribosomal RNA is filed under the name uncultured phototrophic eukaryote. RNAcentral's name for it is "bacterial SSU rRNA". It matches the Rfam family "Bacterial small subunit ribosomal RNA", at positions 94 to 883 of the family's 1533-position model. The record is from RNAcentral.